UCCACGGGGCGGGCGGCGCUCGCCACGAGUGAGUGGUUCAGCUCGGCCCCGGCUCGUUGUGCUCGCCUCACACCGGCCGGAGUUGGCAGCAGCGCUGGAGGCCCCGGGCCGGUGACCACAAAGAGGGAGCCGGGGGCCGGACGGGAGCGCGGCGGCGGCGGCGGCGGCGGCGGCGGCGGCGGCGCCGGCUGAGGCCCAGGCCAGGCCUCCUCCCCUCAGCCUCCCGCCGGCCCGCCCGCCUGUCCCGCCCCCGCCGGCGGCGCCCCGCCCCUCCCCUAACCGCCAGACUAGCCUGGUGGGGGGGCCGCGCGCGAAGACAUGGGAGAGAAGCUGAGGCUGGAGUCGCCCGUGGGGGCCGAGCCCGCCGUCUACCCGUGGCCGCUGCCGGUCUACGUUGUGACAGAAAUAAAGUUUCCAGAAGUUGUGUUCCUGCAAUAAGAAAUAAAGAUAUGACCUUCCAGUUGUGUAAAGCUCAUGAAUGCUGUGUAAGUGCGUCGGGUGCAAUAAGGAACCUGGAGCUAAAUGGGCUAGUUCUGAGAGAGAGAGACUUAACUACGUUAACAAAGGAAAUCCAUCUCCGUCCUUUGCGGGGGCAGUCCCGAGCUCAUGUUUUAACGGACGCGAAUGCAAAGCGUGGUUCUCACGUGACUUUCUGAAGAGCCCCCGCAGCAGGCCCAGGUACCUUGAGUGGACUAAGUCUCACUUUAUGGCAAUGGCAUCAGAUGGUGGCUACAGAAGGUUGCCGACGUCCCUGUGUGCUCUGACAGGCUCUGCAGACCGGGGGACGAAAGGACCAAGGAACUCUGACCGCCCUCGGGAAUCCCAAGUGACUGGAGGGACACCGCGUCAGGGCCCCAGGCAGUGUCGCCCACUGUUCCGGAGGCGGGCGGAGGCUCCGCAGCCUCAUUUCGUCCCGUCCCUUCCAGUAUCUAAAAUUGUUGUCAAGAUGCUGGGUUAACUCAGGCAGGUCUACAAAGGCGUCCCAAGCAGCAAACAUGUCUGUGAUGAAAUAGCCAAUGAAAGAGAUUUGGGAUUUGGGGAUGCUGCAGGUAUUUCUGUCAAAAACUGCCAUCACCACAGGCAAGUCCUGUCGCUUCUCUUCAUCAGUCUGAGAAAAACAUUCGUCUGAGAUACGUGCGGCCCACUCAAUGCACUGCUCCAGGGGUCGGCAGGGAUUGGACACAUCAGCACACUUAAUCAGUCAGGCGACACUGAAUGUUCUUCUCCAAGGUGCCUGGGUGUUUGGCAGCAGCUAAGCACGGAAGCUUAGGAGGAGGGGGCAGCUCACCUCGAUCCCACGUCAGUGCCUCGUUCCCCGACGGGGGCGACCUCAGCCUUGGCAGCGGCAGAAAAAGCGGCAGGGGAAUCUUCCGCUUCCAGGGCCUACUGCUGGUAGAUAGCAGGGAAGAGGAGCUUCUUGUUGGGAUGCGUGAAGACUCUUCACGCUGCAGCUCCUUCCCAGACGUCGGUGAGCCUGGUGAUUUGGGCCGGUGGUCUUCACCCAGCACUUUUUUUGUUGGCUUCUUCAGCAGCAGGGAACAGCAUGCGGUUGGGGCAGAGGACAGCACGGCAUGGGAUGGGGCCUUCACCUCCCUCUUCUCACCUCCUUCCGGGGCUGUCAUUUUCCAUUGUGCCCCUGUUUUCCCCAGCCCCCGUGUCCUCAGUGGGAGGUGACUGGAUGGUAGCGGCUUCCUGACGUUGACUCCCUGCUCAGGGCAGAAGGCCGGCGCUGGAGCAGCAGGGUGGUCCCGGUCAGAUGUGGCAGCCUCCCAGGAGGGCAAAACCAGCGGGUGACAGCCCACCGGGGCCCCACGGCGGGGCGGGCGGCGGGGCCGGUGGGGCCGGCGGCGGUGGCGGAGCCAGGUACGAAAUUUACACAGUAAAUUGCCCAUGUAGGACCGGUUGUGCGCCAAGCGAUCCGAGAAGAGUGUGAAACUGGGAGAGCUUCUCCUUCGCUUCACCUCCUCUCAAGGUCUAGCACGCACUGGACACUGGAUGGCUCAGCCUGGCGCUUGUGACAUGUCCAUUGUACUCGUCACAGAGAAAGGGUGGGCGGGGCAGGGUGUGGGGCGGGGGUCGCAUGCAAGCCCAGCCCGUGGAGAAACCCCCGCCCAAGGGCAAAGGGCGGGGCCCCAGAGCCCGACCCCUUCUGGACUUUCUAGUGGCUGGGACUUCUCGCUGUGGGUGGCAGGUGUUUGGCACCGGAUGGGCCACCAUGCGGAGACUGUUGGGGACUCUGGAAGCCUUCUCCUGCAGAGCUCGCCCUGCCUGGGCACCGGCUCUGCAGGCCCCUCAGCCCUGCGUAUGUAUCGGCCAGCCCUUGCCCCCCAAGGGGCCCAGGGGCCGGAGCCUGUUCAGAGCUGAGUGCAGGAGGCACCCAGAGCUUGCCAGGCUGUGGCCCGCCUCCUCCAGGGACCUCCCCAGCUUCUCUGCGAGGCCUGAUGACGGGAGCACCUUCUCCAGGGCUGCUCAGCUGCCAGCAUCACCAUGAGCCAGGUGGCGAAGGUUUCUGAGCAGGGGAUGCAGAGCCCUGACCCGACUGGGUGCUGCACCCCACGAUGUCCCUUCCUGGCAGAUAGGUUCUUUUUUCACUUCCUUUUCAAAAUUUGGUAAAACAACAUUUAAACCUUCGACUGCUCUUCAGGGUGUACAGAUGGUAGUGGCUUAGCCGGGAUUCGAAGCAAGGCUGUGUGAUUCCAGAGCUCGUGCUCUGGACUGUGGCGCCUUCUUAUCAUAUAUGCUUCAUGUGUUACUUUUGUUUUUUUUUUCUUGUGGCCCUUAUGGUACUUAGCCCUAAGUGCCAUACGUGUGAGGAACACGUACACUGCCCUGUAGGAGGUCUUCUUUUGUUCAACGCAUGAAUUGCUCAUCCACCACACGGGGUUCUAGUCUCAGAAGAUACAGGUCAGGGAGCACCAGCUGUCAGCAUAGCAGCGUCCCACAUUUCUAACUGAGGCUUGCAGCCCAGAUUUUCCCUUUGGUCUAGUGUGAAGGAUCCAGAUAUGUAAAGCUUAUAUUCUAGACAAAUCAUGGGCUAUCCGGAAAGAAAUUCACCAGUAAAUUAUUCCAGUUUCUCUGGCCUUCCUGGAGUAUAUCCAGUAAGGCAUCUCAUUCGUGUCUGGAAAGCAAAUAUAUCAUUUAUUGCAGCUUCAUCGUGGAGUGAGGUAUUGGUUUAAAGUACGAUCAACACAAUUUGGUCAUUGUGAGUAUGGCAGCUGGGUCCACUGUUUACUACACAUAUGUAACUCUAGCGAUUCUUAUGCCCAAGAGAGGAGACAUACUCUUGGGUGUCUAGGGCAAGGGAAACGUGUUGUUAUUCAGGAGCUGGAAGCUUCAGCAUGACAGGAAAGAAUUGAAAAAUCCUGGUCUACACAUGACUUUACCUUGUUUGAAACUUGUUUCUUUGGCUUGCUUCAUUGGAGUGUUUUCUCUCUCCUGGGGCUGACAUUGUGUGUUCUGUAUCACGCAUGUGACAUGUAGAAGUUUCAGAACCCAGAGUCAUAUAGAUGAGUAAACAUUUAUUUAUAUAUUUUAGUUUAAAAUCUAUUGAAAAUAACACUGGGCAUAAUUCAUAUAUUGCAAAAUUGGUUUGACCCUCUGCCCAUGAGAUUCUUUUUAUGAUAUGUGACAGCUAAUUUGGACUUCCAUCCCCAAUAAACUUUGAGGUUUGAGGACACAAAAGGUUUUGCUCAGACCUAAAUUCUGUCUGAAAAAAAGGGGUAAAUAUUAUAAGCCCUUUCUAACCUCUCCAGGAGCGGAAAUGAUUUACAGCUGUGCCAUUGAACCAUAAUUCCUUGAUCUCAUUUGAGAAGAGUUCUGUAAGAA
This is a long non-coding RNA of Balaenoptera acutorostrata (minke whale), 3825 nucleotides long. RefSeq lists it as uncharacterized. The record is from RefSeq and is a predicted model, not a curated record. The transcript is spliced from 4 exons. Lineage: Eukaryota; Metazoa; Chordata; Mammalia; Artiodactyla; Balaenopteridae.